CUGAAGAAGUGACAACGAACAUUUAUAAAAUGAUGGAUGUCCUUCUUCAUCACAUUCAUUUGGAGCUACAACAUGGACAUUCCUUGCAGGAGCUUAUAUUAAAAACUUCCACAAACCUUGCAUAUUUUGUUUGGACCAAUGAGCUGCUUCCCUUGGAUAUUUUGCUUUUAGCACUUGUUGACCGUGAUGAUGAUCCCCAUGCUUUGCGUAUUGUGGUACGUUUAUUUAGCAUUACUUAUUAUGUCUUCAGAAUUGAGUUGUCUUUUAAGUAUGUAUUAGUAUCUCUAUCAAAUGAUUGCAGUAUGUUGAUUCACUUGUAUGUUGGAUAAGUUUGAUACAUAUUUUGUGUCUCAUUAAUGAUGUUGCGAUGAUUUCUUCA
Camellia sinensis is the source of this 379-nucleotide long non-coding RNA. RefSeq lists it as uncharacterized. The record is from RefSeq and is a predicted model, not a curated record. NCBI's taxonomy places the organism in Eukaryota, Viridiplantae, Streptophyta, Magnoliopsida, Ericales, Theaceae.